Molecule: long non-coding RNA, 451 nt
Organism: Atta colombica
Lineage: Eukaryota; Metazoa; Arthropoda; Insecta; Hymenoptera; Formicidae
Exons: 3
Source: RefSeq, a predicted model, not a curated record
AUUUCAAUUAUAUUAAGCACAUAAAUGUAUUACCUUUCAUUUCGGGCAUACAGAGGCGAUGUCUGCAAUAAUAUCCGAUGGAUUUCGUCCAACUGUAUUGAUCACGGUGUACACUCGAUAAUCCGGAUAGAUCCGUCGGAUAUGCCGGAAAUUGCGGUCUCACUGUCGUAUGACGCUGUUGGUGAAGCAAGUGUUGCUGCUGGCAUAUGUAAUUUGAAUAAUACGGAUCAUCAUAGGCUAUUAAAUGACCCGAUGGAGACGCUAAAGAAUUCGAUAUUGCAACUGUAACAAAUUUAAAUUUUGGGUCGUUCGAUGUAAAACAUACCAAAUUCAAGAAGCCCUGUGGAUGCGAUAUGAUGCGUGGAAAGGUCGAUUCUGUAUGCAUACAUGAGAAAUUUUGUAAUUUUAUAUAUUAUCUAUAAUUACAAAAUAUAUUAAAGGCAUUGAUGUA